CUUGUGGGGGAGGAGGUCAGGCCCCACUAAAACUGGAACGAUACAGAGACGAUUAACACGGCCCCUGCGCAAGGAUGACAAGCAAAUUGGUGAAGCGUUCCAUAUUUUU
Small nuclear RNA from Tachyglossus aculeatus (Australian echidna), 109 nucleotides. The record is from RefSeq and is a predicted model, not a curated record. Lineage: Eukaryota; Metazoa; Chordata; Mammalia; Monotremata; Tachyglossidae.